GCACAUUUUAUCUAGCUGCAGCAUAGAGGAUUGUGGCUCCUCUGACGGGGGUUCAAUUCCCCCUUCGGGCCCCA
RNAcentral lists this transfer RNA (74 nucleotides) under Candidatus Thorarchaeota archaeon. Its description in RNAcentral is "tRNA-His". The record is from RNAcentral. Lineage: Archaea; Promethearchaeati; Candidatus Thorarchaeota.